Molecule: ribosomal RNA, 2934 nt
Filed under: Yersinia pseudotuberculosis
Lineage: Bacteria; Pseudomonadati; Pseudomonadota; Gammaproteobacteria; Enterobacterales; Yersiniaceae
Description: 23S ribosomal RNA
Rfam family: Bacterial large subunit ribosomal RNA
Source: RNAcentral
GGGUUGUGAGGUUAAGCGACUAAGCGUACACGGUGGAUGCCUAGGCAGUCAGAGGCGAUGAAGGGCGUGCUAAUCUGCGAAAAGCGUCGGUAAGCUGAUAUGAAGCGUUAUAACCGACGAUACCCGAAUGGGGAAACCCAGUGCAAUACGUUGCACUAUCGUUAGAUGAAUACAUAGUCUAACGAGGCGAACCGGGGGAACUGAAACAUCUAAGUACCCCGAGGAAAAGAAAUCAACCGAGAUUCCCCCAGUAGCGGCGAGCGAACGGGGAGGAGCCCAGAGUCUGAAUCAGUUUGUGUGUUAGUGGAAGCGUCUGGAAAGUCGCACGGUACAGGGUGAUAGUCCCGUACACCAAAAUGCACAGGCUGUGAACUCGAUGAGUAGGGCGGGACACGUGACAUCCUGUCUGAAUAUGGGGGGACCAUCCUCCAAGGCUAAAUACUCCUGACUGACCGAUAGUGAACCAGUACCGUGAGGGAAAGGCGAAAAGAACCCCGGCGAGGGGAGUGAAAUAGAACCUGAAACCGUGUACGUACAAGCAGUGGGAGCACCUUCGUGGUGUGACUGCGUACCUUUUGUAUAAUGGGUCAGCGACUUAUAUUUUGUAGCAAGGUUAACCGAAUAGGGGAGCCGUAGGGAAACCGAGUCUUAACUGGGCGUCUAGUUGCAAGGUAUAGACCCGAAACCCGGUGAUCUAGCCAUGGGCAGGUUGAAGGUUGGGUAACACUAACUGGAGGACCGAACCGACUAAUGUUGAAAAAUUAGCGGAUGACUUGUGGCUGGGGGUGAAAGGCCAAUCAAACCGGGAGAUAGCUGGUUCUCCCCGAAAGCUAUUUAGGUAGCGCCUCGUGAACUCAUCUUCGGGGGUAGAGCACUGUUUCGGCUAGGGGGCCAUCCCGGCUUACCAAACCGAUGCAAACUCCGAAUACCGAAGAAUGUUAUCACGGGAGACACACGGCGGGUGCUAACGUCCGUCGUGAAGAGGGAAACAACCCAGACCGCCAGCUAAGGUCCCAAAGUCAUGGUUAAGUGGGAAACGAUGUGGGAAGGCACAGACAGCCAGGAUGUUGGCUUAGAAGCAGCCAUCAUUUAAAGAAAGCGUAAUAGCUCACUGGUCGAGUCGGCCUGCGCGGAAGAUGUAACGGGGCUAAACCAUGCACCGAAGCUGCGGCAGCGACACUUAGGUGUUGUUGGGUAGGGGAGCGUUCUGUAAGCCGUUGAAGGUGACCUGUGAGGGUUGCUGGAGGUAUCAGAAGUGCGAAUGCUGACAUAAGUAACGAUAAUGCGGGUGAAAAACCCGCACGCCGGAAGACCAAGGGUUCCUGUCCAACGUUAAUCGGGGCAGGGUGAGUCGACCCCUAAGGCGAGGCUGAAAAGCGUAGUCGAUGGGAAACAGGUUAAUAUUCCUGUACUUGGUGUUACUGCGAAGGGGGGACGGAGAAGGCUAGGCUGGCCGGGCGACGGUUGUCCCGGUUUAAGCGUGUAGGGGGAGUGACCAGGUAAAUCCGGUUGCUUAUCAACCCUGAGGCGUGAUGACGAUGCACUACGGUGCAGAAGCAGUUGAUGCCAUGCUUCCAGGAAAAGCCUCUAAGCAUCAGGUAACACUAAAUCGUACCCCAAACCGACACAGGUGGUCAGGUAGAGAAUACUCAGGCGCUUGAGAGAACUCGGGUGAAGGAACUAGGCAAAAUGGUGCCGUAACUUCGGGAGAAGGCACGCUGGCGUUAGGUGAAAGGACUAGCUCCUGGAGCUGAAGCCAGUCGCAGAUACCAGCUGGCUGCAACUGUUUAAUAAAAACACAGCACUGUGCAAACACGAAAGUGGACGUAUACGGUGUGACGCCUGCCCGGUGCUGGAAGGUUAAUUGAUGGGGUCAGCCGCAAGGCGAAGCUCUUGAUCGAAGCCCCAGUAAACGGCGGCCGUAACUAUAACGGUCCUAAGGUAGCGAAAUUCCUUGUCGGGUAAGUUCCGACCUGCACGAAUGGCGUAAUGAUGGCCAGGCUGUCUCCACCCGAGACUCAGUGAAAUUGAACUCGCUGUGAAGAUGCAGUGUACCCGCGGCAAGACGGAAAGACCCCGUGAACCUUUACUAUAGCUUGACACUGAACAUUGAGCCUUGAUGUGUAGGAUAGGUGGGAGGCCUUGAAGUGUGGACGCCAGUCUGCAUGGAGCCAACCUUGAAAUACCACCCUUUAAUGUUUGAUGUUCUAACUCGGCCCCAUAAUCUGGGGUGAGGACAGUGUCUGGUGGGUAGUUUGACUGGGGCGGUCUCCUCCCAAAGAGUAACGGAGGAGCACGAAGGUUAGCUAAUCACGGUCGGACAUCGUGAGGUUAGUGCAAAGGCAUAAGCUAGCUUGACUGCGAGAGUGACGGCUCGAGCAGGUACGAAAGUAGGUCUUAGUGAUCCGGUGGUUCUGAAUGGAAGGGCCAUCGCUCAACGGAUAAAAGGUACUCCGGGGAUAACAGGCUGAUACCGCCCAAGAGUUCAUAUCGACGGCGGUGUUUGGCACCUCGAUGUCGGCUCAUCACAUCCUGGGGCUGAAGUAGGUCCCAAGGGUAUGGCUGUUCGCCAUUUAAAGUGGUACGCGAGCUGGGUUUAGAACGUCGUGAGACAGUUCGGUCCCUAUCUGCCGUGGGCGUUGGAAGAUUGAGAGGGGCUGCUCCUAGUACGAGAGGACCGGAGUGGACGAAUCACUGGUGUUCGGGUUGUCAUGCCAAUGGCAUUGCCCGGUAGCUAAAUUCGGAAGAGAUAACCGCUGAAAGCAUCUAAGCGGGAAACUUGCCUCGAGAUGAGUCUUCCCUGGGGCUUUAAGCCCCCUGAAGGAACGUUAAAGACUAUGACGUUGAUAGGCUGGGUGUGUAAGUGCAGCGAUGUAUUGAGCUAACCAGUACUAAUGAUCCGUGAGGCUUAACCUUACAACACCGAAGGUGUUU